This 431-nucleotide long non-coding RNA is filed under the name Podarcis lilfordi (Lilford's wall lizard). Lineage: Eukaryota; Metazoa; Chordata; Lepidosauria; Squamata; Lacertidae. The record is from RNAcentral.
CACAAUAUUGUCAGUGAGAAUUAGCCAAUUAGCAAGCUCCUUGCCAUGCUACCAGCUCCUGGUCAAGCACUGGUCAAGCACGGAGUUCCAGUUCUGCUUUCCAUUGCUUGCAGUGACGCUCUGUCUAACCUCUCCCCUAGUUAUGACAGGACAGGGAGUUUUGGAGAUUUUGUGGUUUUGCUCUUCCUGUUCUGUGGAUUAAUUUAGCCUGUAUCUGAGGGGAUUUUGUACCAGUAUCUCUGAUUCACGUCUUCCCCUUGUCCAGGGUACACGGAUGUUUGUAGGGGAAAGGUCGGCUCCUAACUUUGCUGUUUCAAGCAGUUUGCAGUUAGCUAAGGCACAGCUUCCCUUUGAUUCAAAAUGGAUUUUAAAAUACUGUAAGCCCUGAUUAUGUGUGAGCAUAUAUGAAUAUAUUGAUUACUGAUAACUGA